This 16720-nucleotide long non-coding RNA is filed under the name Medicago truncatula (barrel medic). RNAcentral describes it as "long non-coding RNA (MTRU_LNC004891)". Lineage: Eukaryota; Viridiplantae; Streptophyta; Magnoliopsida; Fabales; Fabaceae. The record is from RNAcentral.
UUGCGAUCAAGCAGAUCUGAUGAUGAGCGGUGAAAUCAGAAGCGCGUGAGAUUCCAUAAGCACAAAUAAACCAACAAAACAAACAAAAACAACAUGAAAUCAGUUCAGAAUUAUUACAAGUCUCGUUCGAUUUCAUAUCAUUUUCUACUAAUCCACAAAAAACAAGUAGAAUCAACUUAAAUUCAAAUCAGAAUCAUCUUAACCUAAAAAAUGUCAAUUGCAUCAAAUCAGUAUCAACUUAACCUAGAAAUAUCAAAUUAGAGCAAAAUAAAAACACAAAGGAACUACAUACCGCAAAUUCGUGAAGAGAAGUGAGAAGUGAUUAUGAGAUUGUGAGAAGUGAAGAAUCGAUUAUGAGAUGUGAUUCUGAGAUGAAGUGAAUAAUCGAUUGUGAGAAGUGAUUCUGUGAGAAGUGAGAAGUGAUUAUGAGAUGAGAUUGUGAGAAGUGAAGAAUGAUUGUGAGAAGUGAUUAUGAGAGAAGCGAUUAUGAGAUUAUGUGAUUUUGAGAAGUGAUUUGGUGUGAGUGGGUAAGAAGCGUGCUGUUGUUGUCCUGAGAGAGAGGGUAGUGUAAAAUGAAAAACCUGAUUCUAUCUCUCUGAAAAGUCAAAUAUAAUAAUCAAAGUAAAAAUAAAAUAAUUAAAGAGUAUUAAUAUUUUUUUUUUUUAGGCGUAACAGUUUUAAUAAUAUUAUAACUGUUGUUGUAUUAUUAUUGAAUAUAACUACUACCAUCCAUUAAUAUUGUGUUGUUGUUGUCCUAUUAGAAAACGGUUUUAUGGCAACCAUUUUAAAGUGGCGUUGCAUUACAUCUUAUUUGUUGUAGUGUAUGGUUCUAAUGUUGAUAAAGAAAAGAUUGUUCAAGUAAAGAUUGUCACUUCUAUGUUAAUGAUUAUAUUUUGUAUGUACUUUGCUGUCAAAAGUUAUUUUGUAAGCAAUACUUGAUGUAAUAUCUUGAAUUAUACUUGUUUGUAUUGUAUCACUAUCUCAUGUGGGAUUGGAAAUCUUUCCAACCUACAAAUGUGUAAGGCUUUAAUAACUAUUAUUAUCAUUCUUUAUAUCAAGAUUUUAAUUUGGAUAAUGGUUGUAAAAAAUGUAUUUGAUCCGAUGAGGAGUGUCUGAUAAUUUCCACUCUUUAAAAAAAUUUAUAAUUUUAGUUUAUAUUUAUAUAUAUUUUUUUAAAAAAAUAAUUCUGCCAAUAAAGUAUAGGGACGGUUUGUAACUGUUGUCAUUGUUUAACUCUAAGGCAACACUUAAAAACGUCGCGUAAGGUGUUCUUGGAAAAUCGUCCCCUUUUCCCUUAGUUUAGGCGACGAUUAUGAAUAGUGCGCCCAAAGAGUGACAAAAAACGUCCCCUUAGACUAUAGGCAACGCUUGUAUAGGAGACACCUAAAAAACGUCCCCUAUACUCUUUGGCAUUUUACGUAAUUCUGGCAACGUUUUUCAGGCGUUGUUAGAGAGAAUAAAUGGUGUAGUGUUGGUUUAAUGAAGUGAUGUUGUUUUAUUGAAUGAUGAUGUGAUACUAUGACUACUGUAACGCCACAGAUUUUAAUCUAAGACAUUACUUAAAUAUUAUUUAUUCAUUAGAAAAUAUAAGUGUAUAUAUAUAUAUAUAUAUAUAUAUAUAUAUAUAUAUAUAUAUAUAUAUAUUUAAAUAAACAAGUUAAAAACUUAUGUUUCGCAAGUGUUAAAGACUUUGUUAUAUACGAAUAAUGAGCAAAUUAAGGGGGAUAGCUUUAUUCUUCAAAGAAAUAGCUGGUUUUUUUUGACAAUAUAGCAAACUAAGGAAAAGAGUAGAAUAGAAUUAUUGCACACUACGAUGAAGAUUAAGGAAAAUGCAAACUUCAUAAAUGUAAUUUUUAUAUUGCACAAUUCUUAAGCAUAACUCAUAACUCAUAAGUUAUAAAAGAAUAUUUGAUAGGGUAAGGAACAUUGAAAGAAUAUUAAGUAAUUGGUGGGGAGAGGGGGGACAAAUCUACUUACUAUGUAUAAAAUUUUAACUAUUUUUCAAUUUUUAUUUUUUAACUAUUUUUCAAUUUUUUUCACCCAAAUUCAGUUGCUUCUACAUUGUCGCCGUUGUGGGAGAUUAAGGUAUCAUUUGACCCGGCUUUUUUCCAACUUCUAUACAUUUUUAAGAAGAAGUUAGGUGAAACACACUAUCAAUUAUUUUAAUUUCAAUAUUGUUUAAUCUUCACAACCUCACAAAUAUUUUAAUUCAUACUGUCAUUUAAUGAUACCAAAUACUUUUAUUUCAUUUCUUCAACCUCGCAAAUAUUUACACACACACAUUAACGUUUAGAGUAAUAUUUUAUGUCCGUCUUUCUGUGUUUUUGUUACGCUGAUGCAUAUAAUUUUUUUUAGUGUUGCUUGGUUGAGUGCUACCUCACUGAUUUUUUUUUUUAACUAUUUUCCAAUUUUUUUAUUUUUAACUAUUUUCCAAUUUUUUCUUCCAAAUUCAGUUGCUUCUACACUACCAUUGUGGGAUAUUAAGAUACCGUUUGACCAGGUUUUUUUUUACUUCUCUACAUUUUUAAGGAGAAGUUAGGUCAAACACAAUAUCAAUUAAGUACUUACUAGAAAGUUAACUUUUUUUAAUGCAAAAAAAUUGAAUGGAAUGAGAUUUGGCCAAAAGUUGUUGAAUGCUACUUUAAAAAACUACUUCUCGACAAUAUAUUUCACAAACACCUCUUUUCAACUCACGCUGGGAACCUUUUUUUAUUUUUUAAUAUUAUAUUUCAAUAUGUUUUCUUUUCAUUUAACUUUAUUUUAUUUAUUUUUUUGAACCGUUCCAUUUAAUUUUAUUAUCUUUUUUUCAAAAUAAUUUUAUUAUCUUCUUAUCACUUAUAUAUUUAAUUUAAAUAUCGUUUAAUCAUAACAACCUCACAAAUAUUUUUAUUCACGCUAUCAUUUAAUGAUACAAAAUAUUUUUAUUUUCUUUCAUUAACCUCGCAAAUUCACACACACAUAUUAGUGUUUAGAGUAAUACUUUAUGUGUGUCUGUUUUUUUGUUACGCUAAUACGUAUAAUUUUUAUAAAAUUUUUAUUUUAAUUAAAAGUAAAAUUGUAGAUGUCUUUUCUUCAAAAAAGGUAUAGAUGCCUAAAAUAAUUAUGCUUAUAAUUAUGCUUAUCUUAUAUAUGCACCUUUAUAUCGUAACAAACUAUGCAUAUCUUUUUCUUAUUAAAAAAAAACUAAACAUUGCUAAAUAGAAAAUGUAUUAUUUUCUAUUUUGUCAGCAGCAGAUGAUAGGAUUUUGUAUAAGUUUGAUAAUGAUCCGAAAGAUAUCUUUCCUUAUGUAGUGGGAAUAUAGUUGAUGUAACACUAUGAGAAAAAUACUACGUAGCUUUAUCAUUUACCAUUUAUUUACCUUGAGUUAUUUGUUUCCAUUUUGUAGUCAAUGACAGCCCAAAUAUAUGUAACAAUUGAUCAGGUUCGAGGUUGCUCAUCAACCUACAUCAUUCGGUUGUUGAGAAGUUUAAGACUUAGUAAGUUUGCAUUAUGAUUUUACAAUACAAUGUUAGAGUAACUUAUUAUUUCACAAUCCGAUUUAAUUGUUUUUUGACCAUGUUUCUUGAAUUGUUGUCGUGACCUUAACACUUCUCAAGCUCAGAGUCAAAGAAGGUGGUAAGCUCGUCUUUGAUCUCGAAAGGUCACAGAAGAACUUGCAAAUUCGAGUUGUUCCAAAGUAGAUCUUUGUUGUUGAACUAUUUUAACUUCUACUAUUUUGACGUAUCGAUUUGCAUUGUAGUGGUAAACUAUUUUGACUUUGGGAUCUCAUUUGUUCUUUUCAUUUUGUCUGAUGUAAAUAUUGGCAAAAAUCCAUUUUUUGGUUUGUCUAUGAAACUUGCAAUAUCUUUUAUAAACCUAACUAUUAUGUAACGUUAAUCUGCACAUUGUUGGUUCCUUCAUUGGUUCCAAUUAGUAUCAUGUUAAUUGUAAUGUUGUUUUCCUAAUCUCUUGAACAAAAUAAAAUAUGCUCUUUUCCUACAGUAAAUCUUUAUAAUGCUUUGGUAAAUGUUUUAGAAAUGUACAUAUAUAUAACUUCUAAUUAACACUGCAAUUUGUUUUGUAUCUAGCACUUCUCAAAUGAGAUAUCAAUGACAUUUCUAAAAGGAACACGGAAAACAAUCACACUCAUCGACAAACAAGCUCAAAAAAGGUAUAAGUGUCGCUUGAUAACGGCAAAGAGAGCAAGUAACAAAAAAUACUUAGGCGGCUAAUGGUUCAAAUUUUGCCGAGAACUUAUGUUAGAGGUAAGUGAUAAGUUAAUUUUUGAUCUAGAGAAGCCACCUAAAAAUAUGCACGUUCAAAUCGUUUCCAAAUAAAGAUUUGGUGUUCAUGAUCCGCAUUUUCAAUAGAUCAACUUAACUCUAAUCCUAGACUAGAUUAUCUUCACUCACCGAUGCUACUUCUUUGCUUGAUUUCAUUUGAUGUAAAUAUGGGUAUCAAUCAUUUUUUGGUAACUCUAUAACAACAACACUCUUUUUUAUAAUUUUGGAUAAUAUGUAAAUUCACACAUCAUUAGUUCCUUUAUUGGUUCCAAUUGUUUUCAUCAUAAAUAUUAUGUCAAUUCCUAAUCUCAUAAACUGAUUAUAUGCUCUGUUAAUCAUAAAUAUUAUGAUGAAUCACAAUGUUCCGUCGUUUUAACAUCUCUUCUUUCGAAGAUUUUUUUUAUCGAAUACAUUAUUGAACUUCGCACGGAUUUGUAACUAUUUAUAAACAAAAUCACGGCUAGUGAAUUCAAUGAUCAAAUAUUGAAGCUAACAGACUAUAAAAAACAUAGCUAGUUAUUCAAUUCAAUCAUCAACUUUCAUCCUUUGUUCUUCCAACAAACACUAUGCAAAUCACAAACAUCCUACGCGUUAAUGGCUGCCUGCAAUUGUUUAAGGCUUUUACCUUUGGUUCUGGGACUACUACAACUAUAAAUAAUAUAGCCAGUGCAUUGGUCGCAGCGUAAAGAACGAAGGUACAUGAAAAUAUUAAAUACAAGUAAACUUGCAUGUUCUAUUGGUUUCUUGAACUAAAUGGGAAAAUGAUUCUCAUAUAAUAAUGCUGAUCAGUGAUCAUUAAUCUUUGACUUAUUAGAUCGUUUGGUCCUUUAAUUAAUUUCAUGUUUUCAUUUUGGUCCCACAGUUAAUAAAAAUAGCAUUUUAGUCCCUCACCUUUUCCUCCAUUUGCCAAAUAAAUCCCGACUGUUAACUUUAACUUCAAAUGUCUAUGGUGGACCAACCUUAAAAGUGGUUCAUUGUAGACCUUAUUAAUUUUGUUAAUUUUAACCAUUCGAUCUAUUUAUCAUAAAAGAGACCAUUAGAUCUUCACCUUCUUUUUUAUGAAAUACCUAAAAUACCCCUAAUGCCAAAUUAAAAAUCCUGAUUUCUUCCUCUUCUUCUCCGGCGAGCAUCUUCUUCCACCUUCAUCAACACAACAUCAAUUAUAGCAGCAACAUCAACAACAACACAACAUCUUUUUUAAUCAACAACCUAGUAUCUUGCAACAUACAUUUCAAUGGUAGAAAAAUCCUUUUUAAAGAUUCUCUUUAGUGUAGCAAUAUGAUACCAACAACCUAGUAUCUUGCAACAUACAUUUCAAUGGUAGAAAUACUAUGAGAUUAGGAGGAAACAUAAAAAAAAAAAAAACCAAAGGUCGCGGUUUUUUAAUCAAUUGCUUUGAUGGGUUUCUCGAAUUAUUGCUUCUUUUUCUUCUCUUAUUCUAGAUUCAACAGCCGCUGUUAAACCCAACGUUGCCGUCGUCACAACCGUUGCCACCGCGCGCGACCUUGAACCACCACUGAUCCAUCGUUGUCAGCUGCCAGUUCCUUUUGCACAGAUCUGUGUUUAUGGGUUUGGGAAGAGAAGAGAAGAGAGAAGAAGAAAAGAGAAGAAAGGAAAAGAGGAAAAUAUAGAGACGUGACUAGAUGUUGAUGUUGUUCUGUUGAUGCAAAGAGGAAAAUAGGGAAUAAGAUUUGUUUGUAAAUGAUACCUUAUUGUUGUUCUGUUGGGCUGGGCACAAACAUCUUUUUUAGAAAGAAAGGAUGAUUAGAGUGUUGAUGAUCUUCUUUUUUGGGUUUUUUGUUUUAAUUUUUCUGGGUUUGUUUUUAUGAAUUUAUGAAUAUGAUUGAUGAAGAUCAAAAUAUAGAAGAUGAAGAAAAGGAAAAAAUCAGGUGUUGGUCGUACAUGUAAGAUAAAAUAAACCUGCCUAAUCCAAUGGUUCUCUUUUUAAAAGAAAAUCAAACGGCUGAAAUUAAAAUAAUUACUAGGAUCUAUGGUGGACCACUCUUAAGGUUGGUCUACCAUAGACAUCAUUUGAGGUUAAACUUAACUGUUGGGAUUUAUUUGGCAAACAGAGCAAAAGUUGAGGGACUAAUUCGCAAUUUUUAUUAAAUGUGGGAUCAAAAUGAAAACAUGAAAUUAGUUAAAGGACCAAACGAUCUAAUAAGCCUUAAUCUUUUAAACGAAGUAAAGCUGAAAAAUAAUGUAUUGCACCUUCCGUUUCAAAAUACAUGUCAAAGUCAACCACUUCACAUAUGCCAAUGCACAAUUUUGACCGUUAAUAUAUUUAAUUAUAUAAAGUAAAAAAUUAUAAAAAUUUAAUAUUUUGAAAAUAUUUGUUUAGACAAAUCAAACGACAUCUUACAUGCUAAUAUUUGUAUUUAUACAUUAGUUAAAAAGUAUGAUCAAAGUAAGUUAAGUCAAUAAUGCACAUUACAAAAAUUGGACAUGUAUUUUGAAACAAGGGAGCAGUAUUUAUUAUAUAAGAGAAUGAAUUCUAUUAUAGAAAGCUUCGGUACUGAUCUAUAAUCCUAGUGUCGGCCCCCCUCCUAAUUUCUCAAUCGAAGCUCUUUUCUCUUAACCCUUCUAUUUUUUUCUUUAUUUACGAUUUGCGGUUGCAAUUCUUUUUCUUAACCUUGCGAUUUCAUUUGUUACGUGGCUGACUUGCUUGCUUUGUCUACUUAUGGCUUGUAUUGAAACAUCACUGUGUGUUCCUACCUAGUUAAAUCACACCUUUCUUCCCUUCUUGUUUUGAAACAAUAUUGAAACAUAAUUCCCCUUGUUAUUUUUAUAUUAUCCCCUUAUUGUUUCUCUCUCCAAGCAAUUUUGAAUCAUCCUUCAUAUCUAAUCCUACCAAACAUAUUUAUCCUAAUUGCGAAACCCUAAACCUAAUUUUUUUGCUUCAACUUUUUGAAAUUUGAAUUUCAAAUUCUCUCAUAUCCCUCUUGCAUUGGAAAACGUGUUGGAAAACAUAUUCCAUAUCUCACCUAACCCACCACCACACCACCCCCCCUCUCUCUCUCUCUCUCUCCCUCCCUCCCUCUCUCUCUCUCUCUCUCCCCUCACACCCAUUGUCUAAACACCCAUUUUCUAAAGAGGAAUGAUAUUUGUACGACCAAUUCUAGAAAACUUUUGUGACAACCACUUUUUCUCUCUUCUUGUUGGAUAAAAACAAUAGAGAGAGAAAGAAGAAGAGAGAGAAUAAAAACGCAUGUGAGUAUGAGAGAGUUGUUCCAUAAGUUGUCAAAAUGUGGUUGUACAAAUAUCAUUUUUCUUUUCUAAAUGCCACCAUCGACCUCUACUCUACCACCAGAAUCUAGCGGACCUCCGCUGUAUUCGCUGCUUUUCUUCAUCCUCAUCGCCGUCGGUUCCGGCCACCGCACCGAAAUCUGGGUUUGUUUCUAUCUCAUUUAAACUGAUGGUAAGUUAAUUAAAUUUGUAUUUUUUGUGUCUUUAUUGGAUAAACAAUGGUGAUGUUUACAUGAUUUUUCAUCGUCCUCUACUGUUAGAGACAUGUUAUUCUCAAAUAUCAACAUUUUAUUUUAAUAAUAUGUUGGUUUUUCUUUUGGUUGUUCUUCAAUGGGCGAGUCCUCUGUAGAUGCUUGAAUGGUUGUGUUCUUUCACUCCUUAUUUGGGAGCUUUCCUUAAGUAAGUUUUUUAUUUGUCUAUCCUUUAGUUUCUUGAAACUAAUGAGGAAUUCAUUUUUAAGUUUUGUUGUAUUACAGACUCAUAUAUACAUUUACGUGUCUAGGGAUUUCAUGUCCAACCAACAACUAUAUAUAGUUUCUUAUGCUAAAAAUGAUAACAAGUAAUAUGGGCCUCUUAAGCUUUGAAUAAAGACAAGUAAUUAAUAUCUCAGAUUACUAAUAAUUAUGCAGAUUGAUUUAAUAGCUGAGAUGAUGUAUAAUUUCUAACAUCAUAAUUUCUAGCAUGGGAAAAUGUAUUUUUUGGGUGUGUUUGUUCAAAUGUUUAACUUUGUAUUCUUUUUUUGUUGUUGUUACUUAUGGUGGUUGUUAUGGUUUUUGUUCUAAUCAUGGCAAAUAAUUUGAGUUCAGUGUUUCAAAGUGAGCUUGAAAAUCUAUAGAAAGAGGCUAUGAGACCAAUACAAUUCACUUGCUUUUUGAAUUUUCCUAGAGUUUGGUGUUCUAUGUUAAAAAAAUUUAAAACCACUACCAUAUGAUGAAGCAAGAGUUUUAGAAUCAAGUGUUGUUUGACAUGAAGAUAUCUUUGUAAUCGAAGACGUCUCACUUGAUGCCACUGCGUUUAUUGUUUUAUUGUUAUGUUAGAUUACUUUAUCAUAUUCUUGAUUAAUUAUUUCCUUAUAUUUUUUAUAGUUAAAUCUGCAAUCUGUUUUUGAUGAUUCUAAAACAUUAUGUUUACUCCUAUGCACAAUAAGAAUUUCACCAAUUGAAUUUGGUAGAUAAUUAUCAACUAACUCAUGUAGUUUUUCAUUUAAAAGGGAAAUGGCACUCUAAAGCAGCAAUUAUAAUAGAUCCCUCCCUCUCUCAGUACCCCAAUGUUUAACUGCAAACAAGCACUAGCCAUCAAGAACCGAGAGAUAGCUAGAUGACACUGAUUUCACCAUGUAUUCUCAUAUUCUUCUCACUAUCUUAUUUUUGAAAGAUGUAAGAAUUAUCAUAUUUGCAUAGGUGUCCAGUGUUCAUGAGACAAUACUCUUUUAUGGAUGGAUUGCCACUUAAGACAGGUAUGAUUCCAUUUUGAUGAUGGGAAUAGGUUUCAAGAGAUUAUAUUUUAAUUAUCUUUUGCUAAAAUCAUAAUUUGAAUGUGAUAUAUGUUAUUCAUUUUCUUAUAUCUAUACAAUCAAAGCGGAAGAGUUUCUUUCUUAUAUCAUAAUUUGAAUGUGAUAUAUGUUAUUCAUUUUAAUUUGAAGGCAUUCAAUGGCUACUAUUUAGUCAAACUCUUAAGAAUGAGGAAUGUCAUGCGAUUGUAAUGAUGGGGAAAGAUUAAAUUAAAUAAUUAAAUGGCAUCAAUUGCUCCUAAGUAUCUAACCAAGGGUUAUGAUCAUUUGAAAUAAAUUACUCCUAAUAAAACUUAAUAGCGAACAUAAAAUAAAUAAAAUAUAAACAAAAUUCAAUUAAAUAAAUAUCCAACAAAAUAAAUAGAAGUUCAUCUUAGAAUUCUAACUUAAAAAGAUUUAGUUAGACAUGGUAACUAAAAAGAAAUUACUAAAGAUAAAAACAUAACCUAAAAAGAUUUAGUUAGACAUGGUAACUAAAAAGAAAUUACUAAAGAUAAAAACAUACCCUAAAAAGAUUUAGUUAGACAUGGUAACUAAAAAGAAAUUACUAAAGAUAAAAACAUACCCUAGACAUGAUCAGAGUAAAUGAGGAUUAUAGACAUGGUGCUAUGUUACAAAUGAAAAAGAUUAAUACACCAUACAAGGCUUAAUCCUAAUUUUGAUUACAAAACCCGUCACAAAACAAGCUUCAUUUCCAAAAAACAGUUUGACCCAUGUUUGUAUUUAACUCAAAAAAACAUUGAAUCCAAAAAAAAAUCCUUAUACAACUCAAAACAAAAUAUAAUCAUUAUAAGCUCAAAAUCAAAGCGAGUGAUCGGUAAAGGAAUAGUACCUUGAAACAUAAGACGCGAUUGAGAAGAAGAUGACGCGAUUGAGAGGUUGAUGAAGGAGAAGAAGAUGAAGAAAAGUGUUUGCAUGAUGGUGUAAAGCACUAUCUUCUUUUUUCUUUUUCUUUUCUUUUUUGACAAUGAUAAACACUACGUUCUAUGUGGGGCUGGGAUAAGCCCUUUGUGCACGAAAAUGAAAAUAAUCCACCUUUUUUUUUCCUUUCAUAAAGCCAGAACAAUAGCGUUUGUGUAAAAACACUAUUUAUACCCUCCCUCCAACAAUAGCGUUUCCUGAAAAGCGCUAUUAAUGAGUACCAAAUAAUAGGGUUUGUAGAAAAGUACCAUCUAACCUAGUUUUUAACAUGUUUUUCUUAGCGCUUUCUAAAAAGUCCUAAAAAGUGUUAUAACAUGUCUAUGCGUUGCAUUUUUAAUAGUAUUUAUCUAGAAGCUCUAUUAAAAUUCUGCUAUUGAAAUUUAAAAUUGUGGUAGUGACUUUUGUUCUAAGCUAAUGUGCAUCACCAUUGAACAAAGCAAAGCUCUAUCGGUUACUAAGUAUGCAUAUGCAUUAAAUGCAUUGAAACUUACUUUUUAACACUCUCAAGAUCCACCACUAAAUAUUCUAUUUAUUGAUAUUGCUAAUAGAUUCCUAUUAAGAUUAAAAAAAAAUAAAGGAAAACACUAAUAAAUACAAUAGCUAUAGCUUUGUCGUCGCCUAGAGUUCACAUGAAAUCCAACAAAAAAUUUCCUUUUUUUUUUUAUUUCCCUUUUCUGUCAUGAAAGGUUAUAGAAUAAAAAAAAUCUUUGUAAAAUAAGAAUGAAUGAUUAAGAUUGUUAAGUUACUUUAAUUAACCUCAUUACUAAGGGUGAUGGAAAGACAAACACAAAACAUUCAUGUACUCAAGAGAGGUUUAAUUAUAAUAUUUUAUAUCACCGCUUUUCGAUUCCCACGAGUGAUAAUUUUCCGUCAAAAAAAAAAAUCACCGCUUUACAAUUUGUGCUAAAAGAAAACUUACAACACAUUUAAUAAGGAUGAGGAAUGAGAAUGAGAACGUUCUCCUAAGCAAUUUAAUGUAUUUAAGGUGCGAGUAGGCUUUAUAAAUCAUAAAGUUAUAAAACCAUAUCUCAUAUAUGCAAAUGGGAGAGAGUAUGGCGAAAAUUGUAAAGUUUGUUUAUUUUGUGAUUAUCUUUGCUUCUCCAUUUGUUGUUGCAAACCAUGAAAGUAAGCCAGUUUUUAUCCUUCAAAAGUUUUCUUAGCUAGAUUCUACAAAAUGUUUUUAUCUCAUUUUACUAACAUCAUUUAUUCAACAAUAACAGUCAGCGGAUGGAUCACAGAACUUCCUUUUGGCAUGUGUACUUCUAUUCUUGAUUGUCCAAUGGAUAGUUGCACACAUCCUCAACAACCUUGGUGUGAAUUACAUGGUGUCCCUAUUCUGUAUCAUGGAUCCGAAAUAGGACUCUGUAUAUGUAUUUGAGUGUUGUGCUCGUAACAUUCUACUAAAAAGAUCUAUAAGUUUUCAUUUCGUAAUUUUAUCGGAACCCAAUAAUUUGUAUUUUUUACAUUUUCUGUUUUCACGAACCAUAUAGCUAUGGUUUUGUACUCUAAGAUGAUCGCAAUAAAAUUAAACAUGGAAUUUAAAAUUAAUGUUUAGAUUUAAUUCAUGGCCAUCAUUUUAUACUUAUGUCAUAAAUUGUUACGCUUAUGAUUUUUAUUAAACUACAAUUUACAUUUCUCUUUUAUUUAAUUUUUUUUAACAAAAUCAAAUGAUUUAUUUUCCUAAGCAACCCGCCCUUGAGGAUCCAAAACAACAAGAAUUGGCUUAUUCUUGUAUUUCGAUUCACUCUGUAUGAACCAAACCACUGCCUUGCUUAUCAAUGAAGGAUGAUACAUUGAAAACCAUGGCAUACAUUCUCUUUGGUUCUAAAAUUGCAUUUGUCUACUUCUCAAAUCAUCAACAUAAGAUAUAACAAGUAUUUAUAUUGCCACUUGAUCACCAAUUCAAGUAUAUAUGAUUAACACUUCAUCAUCAUCACCAAUUAUCACAUGAACACACAUAGUCAUGUACAAAUCUUCACACAGAUUCACAUAAUCAAGUUGUGACUCUCACAUAGACUCGUAUGUAUGCGAUGUUCUAGUUUGACUCUAUAUGCAUGUGGUACAAAGUUUUGGAUGUCGGACUUAUGUUACCGGGUGAUUGUAACACCCCGAUUUUUAAUAUUAGUUUAUUAAUAUUAUUUUUAGAUAAUAUUAGUAUUAAUGUUAGUAUUAGUAUAUGUUUUUAGGUAGUAUUAAUUUAAAUAUUCGUAUCUAUUGGAAGAAUAGGUAAUGAGAAAAUAGAUGGGUUGGUUAGUCGUUUAAAGAGUGAGAGAAAAUAAUAUUUAGAAAGAAAAUAGAGUUUUUUUUUUAGAGAAAAUAAGAAAUUAGAGUGCGAACGGGAGGAUCAGUAAAAUUGGGAUGAAAAGAGGUGUAGUUAGUGAGACGAGUAGUACUUUAAUGAUUUAAGUAGAUGGGAGUGUGAAUAGCAAGGCGGUGUAGCUACAGAAAUAAUAGUAACAAUAUAUAGAGGUGCAGAUAGUAAUCUGAAAAGAUUAGUAACAAACCUGGAGGACAUAUAGUAAUCUAAAAAAAUUGGUAACAAACUCAAUUAGAGCUUAUAAAUAGAGAAAAGAAUUAGAGAAGAAGGGUUACUUAGCAAGAGAGAAACAAAGCGGCAAAAGAAAACAUAGGGUUGUGGAGAAAAGAGUUAAGGAGGCAAACCGAGAAGAAUCUAGAGAGAGAUUUUACAGUAGUAAUUCAUCAAAUUCUCCGAACUAGAGGUAAGGGGGGAGUUUUAUUCAUUGUAAGGGUUGUGUAAUCAUGUGGAUAGUGAAGGGUUGUUAAUUUUCAUUAUUUUCUUAUUCCUUUGAUGAUCUAUGAUUAAAUUCGUGUUCUUGUUUUUUGUUGCUGUUAUUAUUUGUAGAUUUUUGUUUCUAAAGUUGUGAUGUUUUCAUGUUAAAUUUGUGAUUGAAAUAUAGUGAUGUUCUGAUUUUUCUUUAAGAGAAUAAAAACCAUGACUACUCGCAAUCGGAUUCUGAUUACUUCUAAACUUUAUAUGGUUUUGAAUUGGUAAUUUUAUAAUCAAUUUAUUAAGUCAUUAAUGUUUAUAUUACCUUUGAUUUGCUGCUAUAAGUUACACUAUUAUUUAUUUUUUUGGCUUGUGAGAAAUUAUUCUUGUUAUUUUCCAUCGCUACUAACACCGUAGAUUCUAGUUCAUUCAAUUUAAUUGCCGUAACCAUUCACUGUUGAUGUACCUACUUUGAUUUAAUUUGUGGAUUACUAUUACUGUGGUCUUGUGUGGAUUAUAACUUGAGUUCCAUAAUGAAAACUACUUAGUGUGCCAUGCCAAUUUAAUAUUAAUGGUCGUGAAUUGUUCUUUAAAAAGGCUGUAGCUUGAUUUAUUUAUUUUAUUCUCUAUAUUGACAAAAGUUGAGUGAACAUAGUAUAUUUUUAUUCCUUUGAUCGAGAAACUUUGGCAAUUUUCAUAGUUUGAUUUAGAUUAUUUGUUUUAAAAGAAUUAAUUGAUCUUUCUUUUUCUUUUAUUGGAAAAGUAUUAAAUAACGAGUAAAGAUGUGUUCUAUAAGGAUGUGUUAUUUGAAGAUGUGUGAUUUAAAGAUGUGUUAUAUAAAGAUGUGCUAUUUGAAGAUGUGUGAUUUAAAGAUGUUUUAUAUAAAGAUGUGAUAUUUGACGAUGAUGCUAUUUAAAGAUGUGUAUUUGUCGAGUCAUUUAAAUAUGUGCAUUUGUUGAGUCAUUACUUGGUGUUCAUGCAUUCAUGGUCAGUCCGAUUUAAAGAUGUGUUUAAAGAUGGGGGAUAAAUCAAUAACAUAACUCUGAUAUCCAAAACCGGUACCACAUGCAUAUAGAGUCGAGUUAGAGACAUUGCAUACAUAACUGUAUGACUAUUUGAAGAUGUGUAAUUAAAAGAUGUGAUAUAUUAAGAUGUGUACCUAUUUAAAGAUGUGAUAUUCAAUGACGUGCUUCUAUAUGAUUAUGUGUGAAUGAUUUGUAUUUUAUUAAUGUCUACUUGAUAUUCUUAAAUGUUAUUGAUGCUUAUAUGUUAUUAUAAGAUGUUGAUUGAUGCCUAUUUGAUUUUUAUUAAAUGAAAUUUUAUAUCUAAAUGUGAAUGUUAUCUGACUAUGAUGCAUAUAUGUCUAAAUGUAAUUGUUGUGUUCUUUUAUCUGAAUCUAUACAUGUGUUUAUGCAUCUCUUAUGUUGAAUAUAUUCUCACCCUCUAGUGGCGGGUUGGGCGCCUGCACCCUUGUGGUGUAGAUUUGCAGGAAGAAGAUCUUAGUAGCAGUGAGUCUCGGAGGAUGGCGUUGGAGCCUUCUCCAUUUUAUGUGUCGCUUUUUGGAGUCUUUAUUGAGUCGAUGCUCUGAUCUGUGACACUAGGGAUUGGGAAUUUAUUUUAUUUUAGAUUAGGUUUUAGAAUUCUUUUGAAUUUAAUUUUGAUGUUGAUACAAAUGAUGUAAAAGUUACUUUGAUGUUUUGAAAAAUUUAUUUUGUUGUUACCAUUUUAAUUUAAAUUAAGUAUUUUGAAAUUGAAGAAGAUGUGUGACACCCUUGUAUGUUUAAUUAAUUAUUGUACUUUUAUUAGAAAAUAAUAUGUGGGGUUUAGGGUGUUACAGCGAUCCCCCAUCUUUAUAUCAUUGGAUAAUCGUAGGUAUAUUACCUAUUAAUUGACCCGUGUUUAAAUACCCGAUUGACCAUCAUGCAUGGAUAUCAAGUAUAGAAUCGACAAUGCACGACUCCAUAUAGUUCAUGUUACAUGAUCACUUCUUCACAUAACAUAACAAUUCACUAACACACCAAAGCAUCGUCAAAUCAUAAACCUCACUAAUGAUUUAAACACGUUAAAAACGCUAAUACCUCUGAUUUUGUUUAUCUUCAAAAGAUUUACCCCUUUCUUCUCUACUUUAUUCUUUCUUAUCCCAUAGACCCAUAAACCUCACUACCUGAUAACCUAACCUUCAUCCAUCCUUAUAUAUAUAUAUAUAUAUAUAUAUAUAUAUAUAUAUAUAUAUAUAUAUAUAUAUAUAUAUAUAUAUAUAUGGGUGGGGAUAUUUUGACUCCAAGAGUAAGUGUAAUAUCUUACUCCAAAUCUUGACCUUUAAUUCCAAUUUUGGUUAAUGACUUAGAUUAAUUGGUAUGGUAGGCUUUAAUUCCAUUUUCUAUUGUAGUCAACACUUAUCACCACAAAAUAACAAAACAAUAAAUGACAUUUAAUUAAUUGAUUGAUUUUUUUUCUUCCAUUGUUUUUUUUCCUUUCAUGCUAAAAGAAUUUUUAUUUUGGAUUUUAUGUUCUUGUUUUGUUAUGUUAUGUUGGAUUCACAUGUUUUUUUAUGUUAUGUUGAAUUCUUGAGCUCUUUCUCAAAUAACAUCAUCUAUGUAUGUCUAUGACAACAAAAACUAAUUACGAUGGAGAUGAUUAUUUUAAUUUGUCGUAUAAAUAAAUACACAAUUUUUUUUUUUAUGCAAUUAUUGUAAAUGAAUUAGAUAUAAGAAAAGACUAGGGUUACUUCCUCUAUCGUCUUUUUUUUCGUGACAGAUUAAUACAAAGAUGUGCGUUUAUAAAAAAUAUAAGAAAAGAUCAGGAUUAUAAUGAAGAAACUAAACAAAAUAUGUCGUAUAAAAAAUAGUAACGGAAGAAGAAUAAAUAUGCAAUUCUUUGAAUUUUAGAAUUGUUUUCUUUUAAAAAAAAAUAUAUGCAAUUAUUUUAGCGUAAAAAAAGUAAAGGGAGAAGAAAAAAAAUCAAUGGGAGAAGAAAAAAAAUCUUUUUGCGUAAAAAAAAUAUAUGCAAAUUUUUUCUUAUGCAAUUUUUUAGAAUGAAUAGAAUGAGUGAUUCUUGAAAUUUUUCUUUUAAGGAAAGGAUUUUAAGUUAACCCUAAAAAAUUAUUUUAACGUGAAAAAAAAUCAAUCAAUUAAAAGACAUUUAUUGUGUUUUUUUUUUUGUUGACAAGAGACAUUUAUUGUUUUGUUAUUUUGUGGGGAUAAAUGUUAACUACAAUAGAAAAUGGAAUUAAAGCCUACCGUAUCAAUUAAUCUAAGCCAUUAAUCAAAAUUGAAAUUAAAGAUCAAGAUUUGGAGUAAAAUAUUACACUUACUCUUGGAGUCAAAAUAUCCCUACCCUAUAUAUAUAUAUAUAUAUAUAUAUAUAUAUAUAUAUAUAAGUCUUCCUUGAUGAUUUUAGUUUGAAGGCAUUCAAUGGCUACAAUUUAGUCAAACUCUUAAGAAUGAGGAAUGUCAUGCGAUUGUAAUGAUGGGGAAAGAUUAAAUUAAAUAAUUAAAUGGCAUCAAUUGCUCCUAAGUAUCUAACCAAGGGUUAUGAUCAUUUGAAAUAAAUUACUUAAUAGCGAACAUAAAAUAAAUAAAAUAUAAAUAAAAUUGAAUUAAAUAAAUAUCCAACAAAAUAAAUAUAAGUUCAUCUUAGAACUCUAACCUAAAAAGAUUUAAUUACACAUGAAAAAGAUUAAUACACAAUACAAGGCUUAAUCCUAAUUUUGAUUACAAAAUCCAUCACAAAACAAGCUUCAUUUCCAAAAAACAGUUUGACCCAUGUUUGUAUUUAACUCAAAAAAACAUUGAAUCCAAAAAAAAAAAAUCCUUAUAUAGUGAAAAAAAUCCUUAUACAACUCAAAACAAAACAUAAUCAUUAUAAGCUCAAAAUCAAAGCGAGUGAUCGGUAAAGGAAUAGUACCUUAAAACAUAAGACGCGAUUGAGAAGAAGAUGACGCGAUUGAGAGGUUGAUGAAGGAGAAGAAGAUGAAGAAAAGCGUUUGCAUGAUGGUGUAAAGCACUAUCUUCUUUUUUCUUUUUCUUUUCUUUUUUGACAAUGAUAAACAC